AAUGACCGAAUUCUUCGGUUUUCGUGUUACUGUCUAUCUUAUAUGAAAAUUUUUUUAUUAGUAUUUUUAUUAUUGUUAGAUGAUAAAACAUGAAUAAUACUUUAUGCAUGACUUAUCUUUUUAAUUUUUUUCAUAAUUUUUUUAAAUAAAAUGAACGGUCAAAUGUUAGACACGGAAACUCAGG
RNAcentral lists this microRNA precursor (184 nucleotides) under Oryza nivara. RNAcentral's name for it is "MIR812 microRNA precursor family". It matches the Rfam family "MIR812 microRNA precursor family". Lineage: Eukaryota; Viridiplantae; Streptophyta; Magnoliopsida; Poales; Poaceae. The record is from Rfam by way of RNAcentral.